Molecule: ribosomal RNA, 670 nt
Filed under: Citrobacter freundii
Lineage: Bacteria; Pseudomonadati; Pseudomonadota; Gammaproteobacteria; Enterobacterales; Enterobacteriaceae
Description: bacterial SSU rRNA
Rfam family: Bacterial small subunit ribosomal RNA
Source: RNAcentral
CCUGAUGCAGCCAUGCCGCGUGUAUGAAGAAGGCCUUCGGGUUGUAAAGUACUUUCAGCGAGUGAGGAAGGCGUUAUCGUUAAUAGCCGGUAUCGAUUGACGUUACUCGCAGAAGAAGCACCGGCUAACUCCGUGCCAGCAGCCGCGGUAAUACGGAGGGUGCGAGCGUUAAUCGGAAUUACUGGGCGUAAAGCGCACGCAGGCGGUCUGUCAAGUCGGAUGUGAAAUCCCCGGGCUCAACCUGGGAACUGCAUCCGAAACUGGCAGGCUAGAGACUUGUAGAGGGGGGUAGAAUUCCAGGUGUAGCGGUGAAAUGCGUAGAGAUCUGGAGGAAUACCGGUGGCGAAGGCGGCCCCCUGGACAAAGACUGACACUCAGAUGCGAAAGCGUGGGGAGCAAACAGGAUUAGAUACCCUGGUAGUCCACGCCGUAAACGAUGUCGACUUGGAGGUUGUGCCCUUGAGGCGUGGCUUUCGGAGCUAACGCGUUAAGUAGACCGCCUGGGGAGUACGGUCGCAAGGUUAAAACUCAAAUGAAUUGACGGGGGCCCGCACAAGCGGUGGAGCAUGUGGUUUAAUUCGAUGCAACGCGAAGAACCUUACCUACUCUUGACAUCCAGAGAACUUAGCAGAGAUGCUUUGGUGCCUUCGGGAACUCUGAGACAGGUGCU